GCAGACACAUUCCAGCCAAUCAGCGGCAGACCCUCCCUCCCAGACCCUCCCACCUCCUGGACAGCAUCCAUUUUACAUUCAUUGUGAAGCUGCAUUCUUAGUGAGCUGUCUAGGAGGUGGGAGGGUCUGGGAGGGAGGGUCUGCUGCUGAUUGGCUGGAAUGUGUCUG
Molecule: microRNA precursor, 168 nt
Filed under: Pelobates cultripes (western spadefoot toad)
Lineage: Eukaryota; Metazoa; Chordata; Amphibia; Anura; Pelobatidae
Source: RNAcentral